AUCGACAAAAUAUUUUCAGACAAUUGCUAGUUUCGACAUGUCGUAACUUUAUGUAACAUUUGAUGCGAGUUUUCUCCCCUUUUAUAUCUAAUAUUAGUUGUAUGGUAAUAUAACUCAUUAACAAUAUGAAGUAGAGGCCUAGAGUCUUUUGAUUUGAGGUCCUUGGUUGAUGACCUUGGAAUUGAGCUCAAGGUCAAAGGUAAAUUCAACGUUCUAGAUUUUGACCUUUGCUCUUUCCUCUUAUGUAUACAUGAUAAAGCAAUGGGACUUUUAGCAAAAGGUUGCAAGAAAAGUGACCUUAAAAAAGCAAACCGGAAGUGACCUUUUGUAAACCGGAAGUAGCCAUUUUUUGUACUAAUUUAAUGUAAACGUAUACAGAACCAUCUAUUUGUGGAAUCAGAGUCAAGUAAACUAUCA
This 417-nucleotide long non-coding RNA is filed under the name Mytilus galloprovincialis (Mediterranean mussel). Lineage: Eukaryota; Metazoa; Mollusca; Bivalvia; Mytilida; Mytilidae. The record is from RNAcentral.